Molecule: ribosomal RNA, 462 nt
Filed under: uncultured bacterium
Lineage: Bacteria
Description: partial 16S ribosomal RNA
Rfam family: Bacterial small subunit ribosomal RNA
Source: RNAcentral
GACGAACGCUGGCGGCGUGCUUAACACAUGCAAGUCGAACGGAAAGGCCCUUCGGGGUCCUCGAGUGGCGAACGGGCGAGUAACACGUGGGCAAUUUGCCCUCCACUUUGUGAUACUCCGGGGACAUUGGGACUACUACCGAAAUGGGCCACGCGCUUCUUGGCGGGUGGUGGAAAUCUUUUGCGGUGUGGGUUGGGCCCGCGGCCUAUGGGUUCGUUGGUGGGUUAAUGGCUGACCAAGGCACCGCCGGGUAGCCGGCCUGUGAGGGUGACCGGCCACAAGGGGACUGAGGUAGGGCGCAGAAGCCAACGGGAGGCAGCAGGGGGGAAUAUUGCGCAAUGGGCGCAAGCCUGAUGCAGCGACGCCGCGUUAGGGAUGACGGCCUUCGGGGUGUAAACCUCUUUCAAUAGGGACGAAGCGGAAGUGACGGUACCUAAAGAAGAAGCACCGGCCAACUACGUG